UACGAAGGUCCCAAGCGUUAUCCGGAUUUAUUGGGUUUAAAGAGCUCGUAGGCGGUUUGUCGCGUCUGCCGUGAAAGCCCGGGGCUCAACUCCGGAUCUGCGGUGGGUACGGGCAGACUAGAGUGAUGUAGGGGAGACUGGAAUUCCUGGUGUAGCGGUGAAAUGCGCAGAUAUCGGGAGGAACACCAGUGGCGAAGGCGGCACUCUGGGCCGGUACUGACGCUGAGGAACGAAAGCGUGGGGAGCAAACAGG
This 253-nucleotide ribosomal RNA is filed under the name uncultured bacterium. RNAcentral describes it as "partial 16S ribosomal RNA". It matches the Rfam family "Bacterial small subunit ribosomal RNA", at positions 524 to 776 of the family's 1533-position model. The record is from RNAcentral.